GGCUAGGACGAACGCUGGCGGCGUGCUUCAUACAUGCAAGUCGAACGAGAAGCUGACUUCGGUCAGUGGAAAGUGGCGGACGGGUGAGUAAUAUGUAGAGAAUCUGCCCUUGAGUGGGGGACAACAGAGGGAAACUUCUGCUAAUACCCAUAUGAGCUAACUUGAAAUAGUUAUCUUGAAAACUCCGGUGCUCAAGGAUGAGUCUGCAUCUGAUUAGCUAGUUGGCGGUGUAAUGGACCACCAAGGCGACGAUCAGUAGCUGGUUUGAGAGGAUGAUCAGCCACAAUGGGACUGAGACACGGCCCAUACUCCUACGGGAGGCAGCAGUAGGGAAUUUUGCGCAAUGGGCGAAAGCCUGAACCGCAGCAACGCCGCGUGAACGAUUAAGCCCUUCGGGGUGUAAAGUUCUGUCAGUAGGGACGAAUUUUGACGGUACCUGCAGAGGAAGCACCGGCUAACUCCGUGCCAGCAGCAGC
Molecule: ribosomal RNA, 476 nt
Filed under: uncultured bacterium
Lineage: Bacteria
Description: bacterial SSU rRNA
Rfam family: Bacterial small subunit ribosomal RNA
Source: RNAcentral